GUUUGUUUGAUAUUUGUUGACAAGCAUAUGGACAAAUUAAUUUGGUGAAAAAUUUUAAAGUUUAACUUUUUAUUAAAGUUUUUCUUUAAAAAACACAUUAAGAAGUAGAAGCUAUACAUUUACUUUUACAAAAUGAAUACCAAACAAAUAUGUAGAUGCUGCCUGGUAAUGGAUGUGCCUCUCUUGUCCAUAUACGAUGGUGGUUCACCUGGAGUGAGUUGUGUUGCUGACAUGCUUAAACAAAUAGCAAAAUUAAAGCCUCAAUCCGGUGACAAUAUGCCCGACAAAGCCUGUCAGCAAUGCAUAAGUGAAAUCAAUCGUUGUUAUAUCUUCAAAAUGAAAUGUGAAAAUGCAAAUAGAACGCUUAGACAAAUAUUUACAGAUGCAGUACCUGAACCUUUAGAUUGCGUGCCAAAGAAAGUUGAAUUGGUCUCAUCCUCAAUGCAGACAGAAGAUAAAAUACUUAUAUCAUCUAUGGUACAAACAAUAGCAGAAGUGAAACCUCUUUUAGCCCAUAGUAGUGCCCAAACUAUUAAUGUCAAAAAACCAUCCUUAAUACACAACAUCGUACAGACAAUUAUAGAAGAUAAGCCACUUGUAAGUCAUAAAGAAAUACAAACUGAAUAUGAGAUUCUACCAACUGAUGUAGCAAUCCCUGACAAUUCCUUACCCGAGAGCAUUAUUAUAUAUGAAGAAAUUGAUAAUAGUAAUACAAAUGUGAAAAAGAGAUUGCCCACUUCGCCGCUAAAUAAGCAGGUUUCAAAGAAAAUAUGUCUCGAAACAAGAAAAACAAAUAAUUUACAAACUUUAACGGAAACAGAAACUAAUGCUCAAUCAUCAAAUACCUAUAUAUUAUAUGAAGAUUCUCAUGCAGAUUCAAAUAGUUCAGAAGCAGAGGAACUUUACAUACCUACCACAGAACAAACACAAGAAGAAGGUGAAAGUAAUCGUUUUGAAUACUAUGAAAAUGAAAUAGAAGAUACGCAAGAUGAACAAGACGAUAGCCAGUUGUAUCAAGAUAAUAUUAUGGUCUAUAAUGAAAACUUCAAAAGCAAUAGUGAAUAUGAAAUUGAUAUUUCACAAACCAUCGAAAAGUCUCCUGAGCAAUCUGAGGAAUAUUUAAAAUCUCAAAAAACAACUAAAACAUCGUACAAAUCAAAAGGUCAAUACAAAUGUUCACAAUGUAUAAUGACAUUUGUUAGUAUUAAAGUUUUAAAACGACAUUUAGCUAAUCGUCAUAAUAUUAAAGAUGCUGAACUUAUAAUAGAUUAUUUGCCGAAUCCCGAGACAGAUGAAGCAUCACAAGAUGAACAGCCUUCGUCUUCGGAUAAUGUUAGCAAAUCAAUUAAUUCCAGCAUAGAAUUAACAGCUGAGAAUGUUCCAAAGCCGCAGUUAUUGCCUAGAGAAAAAGUAACAUCUUCGGUUAAUGAAGAAUUACUGACAAACAUGAAGUAUUUUUGUGAUUAUUGUCAAGCUGGAUUUGCUCAACGUAAAACUUUAACAUCACAUAUAAAAAAUCAAAUCUGUAUGACAAACAAUUUUAAGUGCAAUAAAUGUGAGCGCAUUUUCAUUUCUGAGGAAAAUUUGGAAACUCAUAAACUAACACAUGAAAAUCCACACAAAUGUUUAGAAUGUGAUACUGUAUUCAAAACCAUAGAGGAACUUAGUGAACAUAUGAUUGAGAAUCAUAAUCGAAAUGCUCGUAAUCAAUGUCAUGUUUGCAAAAAAGUUUUUACCAUGAAAACAUCUUUAAUGGAUCACCUGCGCAUACAUAGUGGAGAAAAACCAUUUCUCUGUACAAUAUGCGGCAAAAGUUUUAAUCAAAAUUCAAAUCUACGACAGCAUUUGACACGUCAUAAUAAUGAGAAAAACUUUAAAUGUGAUAUGUGUCCAAAUGCCUAUGUCACAAAAGCAGAACUAUUUUCCCAUAAACGCACACAUACAGGUGAUCAGCCUUUUAAAUGUGAUAUUUGUGAGGCACGCUUUACUUCAAAUUGUUCAUUGAAAAAACAUGUACGUAAACAUACAGGUGAAAGACCUUAUGCUUGUGAAUUUUGUCCCAUGCGUUUUGCCGCUUUAAAUGUUUUGAAAAAUCAUCGACGUAUUCAUACGGGAGAAAAACCUUUUAAAUGCAACUAUUGUUCAAAAUCCUUUGCGCAAAAAGGUGAUUGUGAAAUGCACAAAAAAACUCAUCUCAAUAAUGAUUUUAAAUGUGUUUGUGAAUCGAAAUUUUCGAAAAAAUCCAAUUUUCGUCAUCACAUUAAAACUCAACAUCCGGAUUUUAGUGAUAAAGAAGUGCAUGCUUUACUAAAUAAAUCAAAUAAGGGCAAUGAUAGUCAAGAAGAAUAUCAAAUAACAUUAAUAGAUGAUUCUAGUGAGAAAUUUGUUAAUAGUCCUACUGAUGACAAUGAAAAUGAUGGUGAAUCAUCGUUUGUAACGAUAGCUCAUGUUAGUAAAAAUGUUACAAAAACUGAUGCCAGUGCUUCUAAUGAUAAUGAUGAUUUUAUGGAAAUUGAAAUGGAAGAGAUGUAAGGUUAGAAAGAAAUAAUGCAAUUAAAUUUAUUCAAAAUCAAGAUACAUAUCAAGAUCAAGCAAGAUACACACUAACACAAGUUUGGCUAAUGAAACCUAAUUGCCGGUACAGAUGAAAAGUUUAAUCCAUUUCCGUUCUCACGACAAUUGGAUCUCGCUCCGGAACAACUCGAUUCUCAAUCGGUCAACUCAGAUUUUUCCCAACAACAACAAGUUUAAUCCCUUAACACGACAACCGGUUCUUUGCACCGGAGUUUGACUGGGAGUUCAAUGAAGAAUUGCCUAAUAUUGUCAACUCAGCCAAACCAACAUUGCACCUGUUGCUGCCACAACAACAACAAGUUAAAUUUAUAAAAGGAUUCAUUUAAAGUGUAAACAAACAAAGAAGCUAAGUACAAUUGAACUUAAACUAUGGAUAACAUAAAGAAUAUCAAUAAACCAAUAAUUUAACAAAAAGUCUUAUAAAAACUGUGUGCAAUAAUUAUAAGAAAACUAUGAACAGCCUAAAUGUUUUCAAAAUCCAACAAAAAAACAAACUCAUGUGACUACUUUC
RNAcentral lists this unclassified non-coding RNA (3085 nucleotides) under Lucilia cuprina (Australian sheep blowfly). Its description in RNAcentral is "zinc finger protein 568, transcript variant X1". The record is from RNAcentral. Lineage: Eukaryota; Metazoa; Arthropoda; Insecta; Diptera; Calliphoridae.